UGGGGAAUAUUGGACAAUGGGGUGAACCCUGAUCCAGCCAUGCCGCGUGUGUGAAGAAGGCCUUAUGGUUGUAAAGCACUUUAAGCGAGGAGGAGGGUACUGGUAUUAAUACUACCAGGUACUGGACGUUACUCGCAGAAUAAGCACCGGCUAACUCUGUACCAGCAGCAGCGGUAAUACAGAGGGUGCGAGCGUUAAUCGGAUUUACUGGGCGUAAAGCGUGCGUAGGCGGCUAAUUGAGUCGGAUGUGAAAUCCCCGAGCUUAACUUGGGAAUUGCAUUCGAUACUGGUUAGCUAGAGUGUGGGAGAGGAUGGUAGAAUUCCAGGUGUAGCGGUGAAAUGCGUAGAGAUCUGGAGGAAUACCGAUGGCGAAGGCAGCCAUCUGGCCUAACACUGACGCUGAGGUACGAAAGCAUGGGGAGCAAACAGG
This 430-nucleotide ribosomal RNA is filed under the name Pseudomonadota bacterium. Its description in RNAcentral is "Proteobacteria bacterium partial 16S ribosomal RNA". It matches the Rfam family "Bacterial small subunit ribosomal RNA", at positions 355 to 776 of the family's 1533-position model. Lineage: Bacteria; Pseudomonadati; Pseudomonadota. The record is from RNAcentral.